GGGUGUUUAGCUCAGUUGAUUAGAUCAUCUCGUUUACACCGAGAGGGUCAGGGGUUUGAGUCCCUUAACACCCACCA
RNAcentral lists this transfer RNA (77 nucleotides) under Alphaproteobacteria bacterium. RNAcentral's name for it is "tRNA-Val". It matches the Rfam family "tRNA". Rfam says of the family: Transfer RNA (tRNA) molecules are approximately 80 nucleotides in length. Lineage: Bacteria; Pseudomonadati; Pseudomonadota; Alphaproteobacteria. The record is from RNAcentral.